AAGACGACGACGUUGAUAGGCCGGGUGUGUAAGCGCAGCGAUGCGUUGAGCUAACCGGUACUAAUGAACCGUGAGGCUUAACCUU
RNAcentral lists this ribosomal RNA (85 nucleotides) under Escherichia coli. RNAcentral's name for it is "partial 23S ribosomal RNA". It matches the Rfam family "Bacterial large subunit ribosomal RNA", at positions 2841 to 2925 of the family's 2925-position model. Lineage: Bacteria; Pseudomonadati; Pseudomonadota; Gammaproteobacteria; Enterobacterales; Enterobacteriaceae. RNAcentral also lists the same sequence under 61 other names. The record is from RNAcentral.